Molecule: RNA transcript, 1279 nt
Organism: Nymphaea colorata (pocket water lily)
Lineage: Eukaryota; Viridiplantae; Streptophyta; Magnoliopsida; Nymphaeales; Nymphaeaceae
Gene name: probable calcium-binding protein CML18
Exons: 2
Source: RefSeq, a predicted model, not a curated record
UGACGACGAUGUACCAUGUUAUAUUUACUUUCAGCAGCAGCUUUAUUAGUUUAAAUGGCAUUUACAUGCAACACUGGUGUGACAUUUUUUCGCAGGUUUGUCAUUUUCCGUCAGGGCAACGAGAUGCCGGAUUUUUAUAACAAGUGGCUCGUCUACCGUCUUCCAUCUCUCUCGCUCUCUCUGCACGAGCAAUCGAGCAUCAUGAGUUCGUCAUGGAAUACAGGCUUGGGCUUCCUGUCGAAGUGGGUUCGAAUGAGUCGAACCUUGGCCGACCUGCUUCGGGGGAGACGCCCCAAGUCAUGGCGGAAGAGGCUCGAGUGGCUGCCUGCUGCAGCGAGCUCGAUGAAGGUGACACACCAGUUGGAGCAGGUGUUCAAGCUCAUUGAUGAGAACGGGGACGGGAAGAUCUCUUGCUUGGAGCUCGGGCACCUGCUGAGGCGCCUCGGCCACGAGAGGGUCGCCGCCGUGGAGGUCGCGGAGGAGAUGGUGAAGGAGAUGGACUACGAUGGGGAUGGGCUCAUCGGUCUUCAAGAGUUCAUGGAGGUGGUGGUGAAUGGCAGCCGCGGCGAGGGCGGGUUCGGCAGCCAUGAUGAUCUGAGAGAGGCUUUCCUCAUCUUCGAUUCCGACAGGGACGGGUACAUAUCUGCUACUGAGUUGCAGAGGGUGAUGAUUAGUUUAGGGGAUGCUGGCUGCACACUCCACGAUUGCUUGCUUAUGAUCAAGGGAGUCGACAAGGAUGGUGAUGGACAGGUCGAUUUUGAAGAGUUCAGGGAAAUGAUGAUGAGGUGCUCCUUUUGAGCGAUUGGCAAACAGAGCAGGGAAGAUUGGUUUGAGGAAUCAGUCUUGGUGGAGGGGAAGAAUACUUGUUUGUGGAAAUGCCUGAAAGAGGUUAAUUUGGGUAGAAGAGAUUUGCUGAAUUUAUGCAUCAACCUCUUGGGUUGAGGUUUCCUGCAUCAGGCAAGAGUUGGGCAUCGGGAAAAACUGAAGCGAUCAUCAUAACAUAAUUAUGUAAUUCACAUGUAGGAGAUGAAUGUGUGGUAGAAAAAUGAGCAGGUCUUCAGAAGUUAUGAGCCCGAGUUCAUUUUUGUAAUUAAGAGGUGGUUCUUCUGUAUCUGAGAAAAGAGUGGCUAGACCCUCCAAAUUGCGCGAGCGCACCAGUUUUAUGGUAGUCGUGGCCCCACGAUGUGAUUCCUGUGGUGAUAAGUUCUUCAGGGGAUCUUUCUUCUUCAUGUCUUCAAAAGCUUUCGAACUCGGUCUCGACCAAUAUGAGCCUGGUAGA